This is a long non-coding RNA of Triticum dicoccoides, 745 nucleotides long. RefSeq lists it as uncharacterized. The transcript is spliced from 2 exons. NCBI's taxonomy places the organism in Eukaryota, Viridiplantae, Streptophyta, Magnoliopsida, Poales, Poaceae. The record is from RefSeq and is a predicted model, not a curated record.
CCUUCCCUAAUUUGUCGACUCCCUCUCCUCUUGUGGACCGCGCCGGUUCCCCGCCAUCUGCUUCCCCCGCACCGUCGGCUCCCUCCGUCUACUUCCACCGCCCCGCCGCCAACCGGCGCCGCCCCCUGAUUUGCCCUCAAAAGGGGACGCCGCCCCCGCCCUGCCCCCAAUCGGCGCCGCCGCCCCCGCCCUGCCCCCAACCGGCGCCGCCGCCCCCACGCUGCCCCUGACCGCACUCGUCGCCGUCAGCUGCCUGCAUUAACGCCGCCGGAGGAUACCACGCGCCUCCGUCGGGCCCUGCUACCUCCACCUCCUCCCAGUGGUGCUCCUCCAUGGACGGAGCACCUGGAUCUGGUGACGGCACGGACCACCGGAGCUCGCGCCUUGCUCCCGCUGCCUUGUCCGCCGCCUCUUCCACUGCCGCCUUGUCCACUAGCGCCCACCGCCCAUGCAUGGUGUCCGCCGCCUCCUACAGUCGUGCAAUACGCCGGUCGUAGCAAACCGUCCCCUCCUCAUUGAUGCGAAGGGAAGAAGAUCCCCAACUCCGGCGAGCCCGGAACAUGACUUUCCCCGUUGCGCCGGUCUGAACAGCAACAAGACGCAUGUGAAGGCAGUUGGGCGAAAAAAUAUGGUUAUGGAUUUCGAAUUUUGUCAUGAAGUCAUUUAAGUUUGUUUGAAUAAAUUGUUGCAAUUCUUACUUGUACAAGUAGAAACAUUUGUAUGAAAAUAAUUCAUUUGGUGAAAA